CCCGACCGUAGCUGCUACCUUGACGUGGUGGUCGGUUUUGCCUAUCGUGAUGACCCAACCGAGCUAUAUUGGCUGGAGCAUAUAUACCUGUAAGUUUUACCAUGCCAGACAGGUCGAUUGGAGAAUGGUAAGACCAGAAGCAGC
This 144-nucleotide non-coding RNA is filed under the name Schistosoma mansoni. Lineage: Eukaryota; Metazoa; Platyhelminthes; Trematoda; Strigeidida; Schistosomatidae. The record is from RNAcentral.